GGGGGAAAGCUUGCUUUCCUGCCGGCGAGUGGCGAACGGGUGAGUAAUACAUCGGAACGUGCCCUGUAGUGGGGGAUAACUAGUCGAAAGAUUAGCUAAUACCGCAUACGACCUGAGGGUGAAAGUGGGGGACCGCAAGGCCUCAUGCUAUAGGAGCGGCCGAUGUCUGAUUAGCUAGUUGGUGGGGUAAAGGCCUACCAAGGCGACGAUCAGUAGCUGGUCUGAGAGGACGAUCAGCCACACUGGGACUGAGACACGGCCCAGACUCCUACGGGAGGCAGCAGUGGGGAAUUUUGGACAAUGGGCGAAAGCCUGAUCCAGCAAUGCCGCGUGUGUGAAGAAGGCCUUCGGGUUGUAAAGCACUUUUGUCCGGAAAGAAAUGGCUCUGGUUAAUACCCGGAGUCGAUGACGGUACCGGAAGAAUAAGGACCGGCUAACUACGUGCCAGCAGCCGCGGUAAUACGUAGGGUCCAAGCGUUAAUCGGAAUUACUGGGCGUAAAGCGUGCGCAGGCGGUUGUGCAAGACCGAUGUGAAAUCCCCGGGCUUAACCUGGGAAUUGCAUUGGUGACUGCACGGCUAGAGUGUGUCAGAGGGAGGUAGAAUUCCACGUGUAGCAGUGAAAUGCGUAGAGAUGUGGAGGAAUACCGAUGGCGAAGGCAGCCUCCUGGGAUAACACUGACGCUCAUGCACGAAAGCGUGGGGAGCAAACAGGAUUAGAUACCCUGGUAGUCCACGCCCUAAACGAUGUCAACUAGUUGUUGGGGAUUCAUUUCCUUAGUAACGUAGCUAACGCGUGAAG
This 800-nucleotide ribosomal RNA is filed under the name uncultured beta proteobacterium. Its description in RNAcentral is "bacterial SSU rRNA". It matches the Rfam family "Bacterial small subunit ribosomal RNA", at positions 70 to 864 of the family's 1533-position model. Lineage: Bacteria; Pseudomonadati; Pseudomonadota; Betaproteobacteria. The record is from RNAcentral.